RNAcentral lists this ribosomal RNA (930 nucleotides) under Mesodinium pulex. RNAcentral describes it as "partial Bacterial large subunit ribosomal RNA". It matches the Rfam family "Bacterial large subunit ribosomal RNA", at positions 1731 to 2717 of the family's 2925-position model. The record is from RNAcentral. Lineage: Eukaryota; Ciliophora; Litostomatea; Cyclotrichida; Mesodiniidae.
AAAGAGGGGUAAAGAAUUUGGCAAUUAAGUUGUAGAACUUAGGGAUAACAAUGGUGUUUAUCGACCGACUGUAUAUCAAAUACACAGGGUUUAGUUAAAGAUGUUUAUAAUUUAGAGCUGAUAUGUGACCACUAUUUAUAAGCUCGUUUCUGCUGUGACAAAGGUUGGCUGUAACUAUAACGGUCCCAAGGUAGCAAAUUUCCUUGUCGUUUAAGUAACGACCUGCAUGAAGGAUGGAACGAAUCGAUAGCUCUCUUGCGUAGGUGUGGUGGUGAAAUAUUAGGUGGUGUGAAGAUACUCCAACAAUGUUAUGGGACAAAAAGACCCUGUGAACCUUUAUAGGGAUAAAAUUUAGUAGGGGUUUUAUAUUGGUAUAUCGCUUCGGCUGGGAUGGAAAAAGUGUGAGAUACCAUUCAUUGAGAAUAGGAUAACAUAAAUCAGUUACAUACAACACUUCGGUGUUUAUCAAUUUAUAUUUGUCAAAUGUUAGAUGGGCUAUUUAAUUGGGGCGAUAACCUUCUUUAAUCGAACGAAAGGUGAACAAAGCUAUUGAUACGGGCUUUGUUAAAGGACGAGUAAGUACAAAGAUAGAUCUGUGGCUUAAUGGUAUUACUUUGUUUGAUCCAGUAUUUAAAUGGUGUCUUAGUGACCUUAAAAUUAAUUUAUCAGAUAAAAGCUACUCAAGGGAUAACAGGCUUAAUUAAAAUUAGAGCUCACAUUAAAUUUGCCAGUUUGGCACCUCGAUGUCGGCUUAUCUUUUCAAAAAUCUGCAUUAGGAUUAUUGGUGGGAGUGCUCAUCCCAUAAUAAGGUACCUGAGCUGGGUUCAGAACGAUGAAAAUCAGUUUGGUCUAUAUCUCUAACUUCAUAAGUAAAUCAUAGUCUUCUUUGCUCAGUACGCAAGGACCGUCAACAAAUUGCUAAAGGUGAAU